This 213-nucleotide ribosomal RNA is filed under the name Triticum aestivum (bread wheat). RNAcentral's name for it is "partial small subunit ribosomal RNA". Lineage: Eukaryota; Viridiplantae; Streptophyta; Magnoliopsida; Poales; Poaceae. The record is from RNAcentral.
AUGAUGCUCAUGGACAGCUUAUCUCUUAUUGGAUUUCCUUUUCUAACAGGAUUUUAUUCUAAAGAUGUGAUCUUAGAGCUCGCUUACACAAAGUAUACCAUCAGUGGGAACUUUGCUUUCUGGUUGGGAAGUGUCUCUGUCCUUUUCACUUCUUAUUACUCCUUUCGUUUACUAUUUCUAACAUUUCUAGUACCAACUAAUUCAUUUGGGUGA